RNAcentral lists this ribosomal RNA (253 nucleotides) under uncultured bacterium. RNAcentral's name for it is "partial 16S ribosomal RNA". It matches the Rfam family "Bacterial small subunit ribosomal RNA", at positions 524 to 776 of the family's 1533-position model. The record is from RNAcentral.
UACGUAGGGCGCGAGCGUUGUCCGGAUUUAUUGGGCGUAAAGAGCUCGUAGGCGGCUUGUCGCGUCGUUCGUGAAAACUUGGGGCUCAACCCCAAGCUUGCGGUCGAUACGGGCAGGCUAGAGUUCGGUAGGGGAGACUGGAAUUCCUGGUGUAGCGGUGAAAUGCGCAGAUAUCAGGAAGAACACCCGUGGCUAAGGCGGUUCUCUAGUACGGUACUGACGCUGAGACGCGAAAGCGUGGGGAGCGAACAGG